Rhea pennata is the source of this 150-nucleotide long non-coding RNA. RefSeq lists it as uncharacterized. The transcript has 3 exons. The record is from RefSeq and is a predicted model, not a curated record. NCBI's taxonomy places the organism in Eukaryota, Metazoa, Chordata, Aves, Rheiformes, Rheidae.
GAGAGAAGUCGAGUGCUGGCAAGAGCCUGAGCAGGUACCGUGCAGGCCUUUCCGAGGCGUGCCCGGGGUCGCAGGGGAGCAGUUCGGUGCCUGGCAUCACGGGGCUGGCGAGCAUUGUCUGGGUGCCGGAGGCGAACGCGGCGAUCGAAG